UUACGUUCAUAUCACGUUAGAACACUGGUUCUCGUACGAUCACCGAAAUUAAGCAACGUCGAUCUUGGUCAGUGUCUAGAUGGGUGACAGCUUGGGAAUACCAAGUGCUGUAAG
Molecule: non-coding RNA, 114 nt
Organism: Acanthosepion pharaonis
Lineage: Eukaryota; Metazoa; Mollusca; Cephalopoda; Sepiida; Sepiidae
Source: the annotation of a GenBank genome assembly